GAUGAACGCUGACAGCAUGCUUAACACAUGCAAGUCUUUGGCGAAGCUGUGCUUGCACCGCCUAGCCAAGGCGGACGGGUGAGUAACGCGUAAGGAACUUGCCCUGCAGUCAGGGAUAACAGACGGAAACGACUGAUAAGACCUGGUAAAGUCAGGCGGACUCAUGUCCAGCCUGAUGAAAAGAGAUGCUGCAGGAGAGCCUUGCGUCCUAUUAGCUUGUUGGUGGGGUAACGGCCCACCAAGGCGACGAUAGGUAGCCGGCCUGAGAGGGUGGACGGCCACAAGGGGACGGAGAGACGGCCCUUACUCCUACGGGAGGCAGCAGUGGGGAAUAUUGGACAAUGGGGGCAACCCUGAUCCAGCAAUUCUGUGUGCACGAUGAAGGUUUUCGGAUUGUAAAGUGCUUUCAGCAGGGAAGAAAAAAAUGACGGUACCUGCAGAAGAAGCGACGGCUAAAUACGUG
RNAcentral lists this ribosomal RNA (463 nucleotides) under uncultured bacterium. RNAcentral describes it as "partial 16S ribosomal RNA". It matches the Rfam family "Bacterial small subunit ribosomal RNA", at positions 28 to 507 of the family's 1533-position model. The record is from RNAcentral.